ACGCUGGCGGCGUGCCUAAUACAUGCAAGUCGAACGAACUUCCGUUAAUUGAUUAUGACGUGCUUGCACUGAAUGAGAUUUUAACACGAAGUGAGUGGCGGACGGGUGAGUAACACGUGGGUAACCUGCCCAGAAGCAGGGGAUAACACCUGGAAACAGAUGCUAAUACCGUAUAACAGAGAAAACCGCCUGGUUUUCUUUUAAAAGAUGGCUCUGCUAUCACUUCUGGAUGGACCCGCGGCGCAUUAGCUAGUUGGUGAGGUAACGGCUCACCAAGGCGAUGAUGCGUAGCCGACCUGAGAGGGUAAUCGGCCACAUUGGGACUGAGACACGGCCCAGACUCCUACGGGAGGCAGCAGUAGGGAAUCUUCCACAAUGGACGCAAGUCUGAUGGAGCAACGCCGCGUGAGUGAAGAAGGGUUUCGGCUCGUAAAGCUCUGUUGUUAAAGAAGAACGUGGGUGAGAGUAACUGUUCACCCAGUGACGGUAUUUAACCAGAAAGCCACGGCUAACUACGUGCCAGCAGCCGCGGUAAUACGUAGGUGGCAAGCGUUAUCCGGAUUUAUUGGGCGUAAAGCGAGCGCAGGCGGUCUUUUAAGUCUAAUGUGA
Molecule: ribosomal RNA, 609 nt
Filed under: Pediococcus acidilactici
Lineage: Bacteria; Bacillati; Bacillota; Bacilli; Lactobacillales; Lactobacillaceae
Description: bacterial SSU rRNA
Rfam family: Bacterial small subunit ribosomal RNA
Source: RNAcentral